GUCAGGGCAGUGGCUGAGUCUGCUUGCCGGGGGUCAGGAAGGCUGUUCUUCCAGGAAGGGCUGCAGAGACCCUGGGAACAGGACUAGGCUGCUCACAAGUAUGAAGAGAAUGUCGGGAGAGGAAGUGGUGGCUGUGAGUCAGCAUGAGUCAUCUCGUUCCAAUGAGAAUGAAGACUGAGGUGUGCGCCUUUUUUUUCUCUCUCUCACUUUUUAAAUUUUUUUUAUUUUUUUGAGUCUCAAUCGUGUGGACAUCACUGGGAAUGGAGGGAAAUAACUGACUGAAUGGUCGUUGCUUUUAAGUUUCAAACCGACAUUCCAGGCGGGUUGUGUCUGAGCCAGCCUCGGGCUUUCAGACCUUCACAGCCUGGUCCUGAGAAGGUAGAGCUCUCAGCUUCUCCCUGGGCUCCCAUGGACCGGAAACAAAGCAGAAACGCGAAUCCCCGGCUCGGGCUUUUACUGGAAGGUAAGAGGGCCCAGAAGCGGGCAGUGAAUGCUGGUGCUGUACAGUUUUAAAGC
Long non-coding RNA from Bos mutus (wild yak), 516 nucleotides. The record is from Ensembl. NCBI's taxonomy places the organism in Eukaryota, Metazoa, Chordata, Mammalia, Artiodactyla, Bovidae.